This 388-nucleotide ribosomal RNA is filed under the name uncultured bacterium. RNAcentral's name for it is "bacterial SSU rRNA". It matches the Rfam family "Bacterial small subunit ribosomal RNA", at positions 28 to 417 of the family's 1533-position model. The record is from RNAcentral.
GACGAACGCUGGCGGCGUGCUUAACACAUGCAAGUCGAGCGGUAAGGCCCUUUCGGGGGUACACGAGCGGCGAACGGGUGAGUAACACGUGGGUGACCUGCCCUCAGCUCUGGGAUAAGCCCGGGAAACUGGGUCUAAUACCGGAUAUGACUCCAUGACGCAUGUUGUGGGGUGGAAAGCCUUGUGCGGCUAGGGAUGGGCCCGCGGCCUAUCAGCUUGUUGGUGGGGUGAUGGCCUACCAAGGCGACGACGGGUAGCCGGCCUGAGAGGGCGACCGGCCACACUGGGACUGAGACACGGCCCAGACUCCUACGGGAGGCAGCAGUGGGGAAUCUUGCGCAAUGGGCGAAAGCCUGACGCAGCGACGCCGCGUGAGGGAUGACGGCCU